UACAGAGACUGCGAGCGUUAUUCGGAUUCACUGGGCGUAAAGGGCACGCAGGCGGUGCGGCGCGUUUCGCGUGACAGCGGAGGGCUUAACUCUCCGAGGAUGCGAAAGACGGCGGCACUUGAGGGCCAGAGAGGGACACGGAAUUCCGGGUGGAGUGGUGAAAUGCGUAGAGAUCCGGAGGAACACCGAAGGCGAAGGCAGUGUCCUGGCUGGUGACUGACGCUGAGGUGCGAAAGCUAGGGGAGCGAACGGG
This 253-nucleotide ribosomal RNA is filed under the name uncultured bacterium. RNAcentral describes it as "partial 16S ribosomal RNA". It matches the Rfam family "Bacterial small subunit ribosomal RNA", at positions 524 to 776 of the family's 1533-position model. The record is from RNAcentral.